Molecule: unclassified non-coding RNA, 315 nt
Filed under: plant metagenome
Description: partial contains 5.8S ribosomal RNA, internal transcribed spacer 2, and large subunit ribosomal RNA
Rfam family: 5.8S ribosomal RNA (bases 1-105)
Source: RNAcentral
GAACUGCGAUAAGUAAUGUGAAUUGCAGAAUUCAGUGAAUCAUCGAGUCUUUGAACGCACAUUGCGCCCCCUGGCAUUCCGGGGGGCAUGCCUGUCCGAGCGUCAUUGCUGCCCUUCAAGCCCGGCUUGUGUCUUGGGUCGUCGUCCCCUCCGGGGGACGGGCCCGAAAGGCAGCGGCGGCACCGCGUCCGGUCCUCGAGCGUAUGGGGCUUUGUCACCCGCUCGAUAAGGACCGGCCGGGCGCCAGCCGGCGUCUCCAACCUUUUUUUCUCAGGUUGACCUCGGAUCAGGUAGGGAUACCCGCUGAACUUAAGC